CCUACGGGAGGCAGCAGUAGGGAAUUUUCCACAAUGGGCGAAAGCCUGAUGGAGCAACGCCGCGUGCAGGAUGAAGGCCUUCGGGUUGUAAACUGCUUUUGUUAGUGACGAUUAUGACGGUAACUAACGAAUAAGGGUCUGCUAACUACGUGCCAGCAGCCGCGGUAAU
This 169-nucleotide ribosomal RNA is filed under the name uncultured bacterium. RNAcentral describes it as "partial 16S ribosomal RNA". It matches the Rfam family "Bacterial small subunit ribosomal RNA", at positions 338 to 524 of the family's 1533-position model. The record is from RNAcentral.